AAGUCGUAACAAGGUUUCCGUAGGUGAACCUGCGGAAGGAUCAUCAAUAGUUCCACUAUAAUACCUUCUUGUGAACUGUUUUUAUGGUACGGAUAUUCAUAUGGUGCUGUGUGUGUGUGUAUUGCUUUAACGGUAAUACACACGGUAGUGCCAUGUGAAUGUCUAUAUGUCAUCAUUACAAACUCUGUUAAAUAUAUAAAAGUCUAAGCAGUUAAGCAUGUUGUCGUAUAUUGUAUUGAACCGUUAAUUUUAACGGUGAUUUACGUAUGUGCGCAAUUUGUCAUUAUAUAUUAAUGUCAAUACAACUUGCAGCGAUGGAUCUCUAGGCUCUG
This 332-nucleotide unclassified non-coding RNA is filed under the name fungal sp. RNAcentral's name for it is "partial internal transcribed spacer region". The stretch from base 1 to 46 matches the Rfam family "Eukaryotic small subunit ribosomal RNA", at positions 1786 to 1831 of the family's 1831-position model. The record is from RNAcentral. Lineage: Eukaryota; Fungi.